CUGCCCUGCACUUUGGGAUAAGCCUGGGAAACUGNNUCUAAUACCGAAUAGGACCACGCGCUUCAUGGUGUGUGGUGGAAAGCUUUUGCGGUGUGGGAUGGGCCCGCGGCCUAUCAGCUUGUUGGUGGGGUAAUGGCCUACCAAGGCGACGACGGGUAGCCGGCCUGAGAGGGUGACCGGCCACACUGGGACNNNNNNNCGGCCCAGACUCCUACGGGAGGCAGCAGUGGGGAAUAUUGCACAAUGGGCGCAAGCCUGAUGCAGCGACGCCGCGUGAGGGAUGACGGCCUUCGGGUUGUAAACCUCUUUCAAUAGGGACGAAGCGCAAGUGACGGUACCUAUAGAAGAAGCACCGGCCAACUACGUGCCAGCAGCCGCGGUAAUACGUAGGGUGCGAGCGUUGUCCGGAAUUACUGGGCGUAAAGAGCUCGUAGGUGGUUUGUCGCGUUGUUCGUGAAAACUCACAGCUUAACUGUGGGCGUGCGGGCGAUACGGGCAGACUAGAGUACUGCAGGGGAGACUGGAAUUCCUGGUGUAGCGGUGGAAUGCGCAGAUAUCAGGAGGAACACCGGUGGCGAANGCGGGUCUCUGGGCAGUAACUGACGCUGANGAGCGAAAGCGUGGGGAGCGAACAGGAUUAGAUACCCUGGUAGUCCACGCCGUAAACGGUGGGUACUAGGUGUGGGUUCCUUCCUUGGGAUCCGUGCCGUANCUAACGCAUUAAGUACCCCGCCUGGGGAGUACGGCCGCAAGGCUAAAACUCAAAGGAAUUGACGGGGGCCCGCACAAGCGGCGGANCAUGUGGANUAAUUCGAUGCAACGCGAANAANCUUACCUGGGUUUGACAUGCACAGGACGCCGGCAGANAUGUCGGUUCCCUUGUGGCCUGUGUGCANGUGGUGCAUGGCUGUCGUCAGCUCGUGUCGUGAGANGUUGGGUUAANUCCCGCAACGAGCGCAACCCUUGUCCUA
Molecule: ribosomal RNA, 971 nt
Filed under: Mycolicibacterium mucogenicum
Lineage: Bacteria; Bacillati; Actinomycetota; Actinomycetes; Mycobacteriales; Mycobacteriaceae
Description: partial 16S ribosomal RNA
Rfam family: Bacterial small subunit ribosomal RNA
Source: RNAcentral